UACGUAGGCAGCGAGCGUUGUUCGGAGUUACUGGGCGUAAAGAGUGCGUAGGCGGUUUUCUAAGUUUGGUGUGAAAUACUCCCCGCUUAACUGGGAGGGUGCGCCGAAAACUGGAAGGCUUGAGUAUGGGAGAGGGUAAGGCGGAAUUCCUGGUGUAGCGGUGAAAUGCGUAGAUAUCAGGAAGAACACCCGUGGCUAAGGCGGCUCUCUAGUACGGUACUGACGCUGAGACGCGGAAAGCGUGGGGAGCGAACAGG
This 257-nucleotide ribosomal RNA is filed under the name uncultured bacterium. RNAcentral describes it as "partial 16S ribosomal RNA". It matches the Rfam family "Bacterial small subunit ribosomal RNA", at positions 524 to 776 of the family's 1533-position model. The record is from RNAcentral.